CCGAGCUGUCAGCACUCGCUGGCGCUGUUUCAUUAAAGUGAUGUCAGUGGCAUCAAGGGCCGGGGGCCACGUCACCGACGGAACUCUGUUGGUCAGAGAGCAGUGUUUCAUAACAACCCGAACGCUAGGAUGAAAUAUGUGGGGUGAGAUUUGAAUCAAAAUAUACGCUUUCUUCUUUACAGGAACAUAACCACCUCAUUUUUGGCAAGAGAUGUUAUUGUCAAUGUUUGACACUUUUUGUCUUCCUGUUAUUUACCAUUUCAGAUGCUCCGUGAGUGUUGAAGCUUACUCACAAUAGGAAUUUCUGUUUACCUUCCUGUGCCAUGCAGAGGCCUCAGAACUUUGCACCUUGCUGCACCAUCCAUCGCCAGAGUUCAGUGCCCACCUCCUGCUAGCCACAGCCUGCUGGAAAGGAGUCAAGUGGAGGGCAAGCACCUGGGCCAGACGACCUUUACCUGCAGAAAGCCAAAGAAGAGUGACCCUGGAGCUGGAGGAGGAGGAGGAGGCUUCGGACAUCCACCUCGGUCAAAAAGUUUCCAUCCACCUCCUGCUUCCGAGGGUGGUCGUCUCAGCCUUGCCGUCUGUCACCAGAAGAUGGCACUGCAGCCAAGUCAUCAUGCUACGCUGCCACCAAUUCCAGCUGCCAGCUCUGGCUGCCAAAGAGAAAAGUGCAAAUGUAUUUGUUUC
This is a long non-coding RNA of Gasterosteus aculeatus aculeatus (three-spined stickleback), 687 nucleotides long. The record is from Ensembl. NCBI's taxonomy places the organism in Eukaryota, Metazoa, Chordata, Actinopteri, Perciformes, Gasterosteidae.